UUAUUGAAAGGUGCUUGCAUCUUGAUUUAAUUUUGAACGAGUGGCGGACGGGUGAGUAACACGUGGGUAACCUGCCCUUAAGUGGGGGAUAACAUUUGGAAACAGAUGCUAAUACCGCAUAAAUCCAAGAACCGCAUGGUUCUUGGCUGAAAGAUGGCGUAAGCUAUCGCUUUUGGAUGGACCCGCGGCGUAUUAGCUAGUUGGUGAGGUAACGGCUCACCAAGGCAAUGAUACGUAGCCGAACUGAGAGGUUGAUCGGCCACAUUGGGACUGAGACACGGCCCAAACUCCUACGGGAGGCAGCAGUAGGGAAUCUUCCACAAUGGACGCAAGUCUGAUGGAGCAACGCCGCGUGAGUGAAGAAGGCUUUCGGGUCGUAAAACUCUGUUGUUGGAGAAGAAUGGUCGGCAGAGUAACUGUUGUCGGCGUGACGGUAUCCAACCAGAAAGCCACGGCUAACUACGUGCCAGCAGCCGCGGUAAUACGUAGGUGGCAAGCGUUAUCCGGAUUUAUUGGGCGUAAAGCGAGCGCAGGCGGUUUUUUAAGUCUGAUGUGAAAGCCCUCGGCUUAACCGAGGAAGUGCAUCGGAAACUGGGAAACUUGAGUGCAGAAGAGGACAGUGGAACUCCAUGUGUAGCGGUGAAAUGCGUAGAUAUAUGGAAGAACACCAGUGGCGAAGGCGGCUGUCUGGUCUGUAACUGACGCUGAGGCUCGAAAGCAUGGGUAGCGAACAGGAUUAGAUACCCUGGUAGUCCAUGCCGUAAACGAUGAAUGCUAGGUGUUGGAGGGUUUCCGCCCUUCAGUGCCGCAGCUAACGCAUUAAGCAUUCCGCCUGGGGAGUACGACCGCAAGGUUGAAACUCAAAGGAAUUGACGGGGGCCCGCACAAGCGGUGGAGCAUGUGGUUUAAUUCGAAGCAACGCGAAGAACCUUACCAGGUCUUGACAUCUUUUGAUCACCUGAGAGAUCAGGUUUCCCCUUCGGGGGCAAAAUGACAGGUGGUGCAUGGUUGUCGUCAGCUCGUGUCGUGAGAUGUUGGGUUAAGUCCCGCAACGAGCGCAACCCUUAUGACUAGUUGCCAGCAUUUAGUUGGGCACUCUAGUAAGACUGCCGGUGACAAACCGGAGGAAGGUGGGGAUGACGUCAAAUCAUCAUGCCCCUUAUGACCUGGGCUACACACGUGCUACAAUGGAUGGUACAACGAGUUGCGAGACCGCGAGGUCAAGCUAAUCUCUUAAAGCCAUUCUCAGUUCGGACUGUAGGCUGCAACUCGCCUACACGAAGUCGGAAUCGCUAGUAAUCGCGGAUCAGCACGCCGCGGUGAAUACGUUCCCGGGCCUUGUACACACCGCCCGUCACACCAUGAGA
RNAcentral lists this ribosomal RNA (1367 nucleotides) under Lacticaseibacillus rhamnosus. RNAcentral's name for it is "bacterial SSU rRNA". It matches the Rfam family "Bacterial small subunit ribosomal RNA", at positions 59 to 1409 of the family's 1533-position model. The record is from RNAcentral. Lineage: Bacteria; Bacillati; Bacillota; Bacilli; Lactobacillales; Lactobacillaceae.